UACGUAGGAGGCGAGCGUUGUCCGGAUUUACUGGGCGUAAAGCGUGCGUAGGUGGUUCGUUAAGUCUGAUGUGAAAGCCCUGGGCUCAACCUGGGAAUGGCAUUGGAAACUGGCGACCUAGAGUGCGGUAGAGGGCAGUGGAAUUCCCGGUGUAGCAGUGAAAUGCGUAGAGAUCGGGAGGAACAUCUGUGGCGAAGGCGACUGCCUGGACCAGCACUGACACUGAGGCACGAAAGCGUGGGGAGCAAACAGG
RNAcentral lists this ribosomal RNA (253 nucleotides) under uncultured bacterium. Its description in RNAcentral is "partial 16S ribosomal RNA". It matches the Rfam family "Bacterial small subunit ribosomal RNA", at positions 524 to 776 of the family's 1533-position model. The record is from RNAcentral.